RNAcentral lists this ribosomal RNA (253 nucleotides) under uncultured bacterium. Its description in RNAcentral is "partial 16S ribosomal RNA". It matches the Rfam family "Bacterial small subunit ribosomal RNA", at positions 524 to 776 of the family's 1533-position model. The record is from RNAcentral.
UACAGGGGGUGCAAACGUUGCUCGGAAUCAUUGGGCGUAAAGCGCACGUAGGCGGUUCGUUAUGUCGGAUGUGAAAGCCCUUGGCUUAACCGGGGAAGUGCAUCCGAAACUGGCGAGCUAGAGUACGAAAGAGGAUCGCGGAAUUCCCGGUGUAGAGGUGAAAUUCGUAGAUAUCGGGAGGAACACCGGUGGCGAAGGCGGCGAUCUGGGUCGAUACUGACGCUGAGGUGCGAAAGCGUGGGGAGCAAACAGG